Molecule: ribosomal RNA, 403 nt
Filed under: Verrucomicrobiota bacterium
Lineage: Bacteria; Pseudomonadati; Verrucomicrobiota
Description: Verrucomicrobia bacterium partial 16S ribosomal RNA
Rfam family: Bacterial small subunit ribosomal RNA
Source: RNAcentral
UGGGGAAUAUUGCACAAUGGGGGAAACCCUGAUGCAGCGACGCCGCGUGAGCGAAGAAGGCUUUCGAGUCGUAAAGUUCUUUUAUAUGAGAAGAUAAUGACGGUAUCAUAGGAGGAAGCCCCGGCUAAAUACGUGCCAGCAGCCGCGGUAAUACGUAUGGGGCGAGCGUUGUCCGGAAUUAUUGGGCGUAAAGGGUACGUAGGCGGUCUAUUAAGUCAGGUGUGAAAGCGUGAGGCUUAACCUCAUUAAGCACUUGAAACUGAUAGACUUGAGUGAAGGAGAGGAAAGUGGAAUUCCUAGUGUAGCGGUGAAAUGCGUAGAUAUUAGGAGGAAUACCGGUGGCGAAGGCGACUUUCUGGACUUUUACUGACGCUCAGGUACGAAAGCGUGGGGAGCAAACAGG